AGAAUCAACGCUGGCGGCGUGCCUAACACAUGCAAGUCGAACGAGAAAGUGGAGCAAUCCAUGAGUACAGUGGCGCACGGGUGAGUAACACGUGACUAACCUACCCUUGAGUGGGGAAUAACCUGGAGAAAUCUAGGCUAAUACCGCAUAACACCUACGGGUCAAAGGAGCAAUUCGCUUAAGGAGGGGGUCGCGGCAGAUUAGCUAGUUGGCGGGGUGAUGGCCCACCAAGGCAGUGAUCUGUA
This 245-nucleotide ribosomal RNA is filed under the name uncultured bacterium. RNAcentral describes it as "partial small subunit ribosomal RNA". It matches the Rfam family "Bacterial small subunit ribosomal RNA", at positions 26 to 285 of the family's 1533-position model. The record is from RNAcentral.